GAUGAACGCUGGCGGCGUGCUUAAUACAUGCAAGUCGAGCGAACAGACGAGGCGCUUGCUCCUCUGACGUUAGCGGCGCACGGGUGAGUAACACGUGGAUAAUCUACCUAUAAGUCUGGGAUCACUUCGGGAAACCGGCGCUAACACCGGAUAAUCUAUUGAACCGCAUGGUUCAAUAGUGAAAGACGGUUUUGCUGUCACUUAUAGAUGGAUCUGCGCCGCAUUAGCUAGUUGGUACGGUAACGGGUUACCAAGGCAACGAUGCGUAGCCGACCUGAGAGAGGGAUCGGCCGCACUGGAACUGGAACGCGGUCCAGAGGCCUACGGGAGGCAGCAGUAGGGAAUCUUCCGCAAUGGGCGAAAGCCUGGCGGAACAACGCCACGUGAGUGAUAGAAGUCUUCGGAUCGUAAAACUCUGUUAUUAGGUGAGAACAAAUGUGUAAGUAACUAUGCACGUCUUGACGGUACCUAAUCAGAAAGCCACGGCUAACUACGUG
RNAcentral lists this ribosomal RNA (497 nucleotides) under uncultured bacterium. RNAcentral's name for it is "partial 16S ribosomal RNA". It matches the Rfam family "Bacterial small subunit ribosomal RNA", at positions 28 to 507 of the family's 1533-position model. The record is from RNAcentral.